UUAUUCAUUCCCCUGGGAAAUUUGCCCUUAAAGUUACUCUUAUUUAACCAGCAAGUAUUUUUUUUGACGGGAAAUGACAUAGGUGUCUCCCAAAAGAUAAUAAGACAAUGUGCAAGAGGCAUUAUUGUGGAAAAAAAACAUUUCUCAGCUUUUAUUUACAUUUGAG
This is a long non-coding RNA of Bufo bufo (common toad), 166 nucleotides long. RefSeq lists it as uncharacterized. The record is from RefSeq and is a predicted model, not a curated record. The transcript is spliced from 3 exons. NCBI's taxonomy places the organism in Eukaryota, Metazoa, Chordata, Amphibia, Anura, Bufonidae.